Molecule: long non-coding RNA, 242 nt
Filed under: Spirodela polyrhiza (greater duckweed)
Lineage: Eukaryota; Viridiplantae; Streptophyta; Magnoliopsida; Alismatales; Araceae
Description: long non-coding RNA (SPOL_LNC001381)
Source: RNAcentral
CCUCUUUCUCUCUCUCUAGAUGUCUUCUGGGCAUAUCUACAACGAAAUAAAGAUCCUCUAUAAAAAAACGUUUAUUCGGUGGGCGGCGUUGCAGAGGAGGGGGGAGCCAUCGUCCUCGCCGCCAACUGUACCGGCGCCGCCACCGCACCGCCGCUCUCUAAUGGGGCUCGCCGUGGGGGGGGGCCCACUCUCACGUGGCUCCCGUCCCCAACCGCCGCCGCAGCCGCAGCCGCCGCCGCCGC